CGGCCCAGACUCCUACGGGAGGCAGCAGUGGGGAAUUUUGGACAAUGGGGGAAACCCUGAUCCAGCAAUGCCGCGUGUGUGAAGAAGGCCUUCGGGUUGUAAAGCACUUUUGUCCGGAAAGAAAACUUCUGCAUUAAUACUGUGGGAGGAUGACGGUACCGGAAGAAUAAGCACCGGCUAACUACGUGCCAGCAGCCGCGGUAAUACGUAGGGUGCGAGCGUUAAUCGGAAUUACUGGGCGUAAAGCGUGCGCAGGCGGUUCGUUAAGACAGAUGUGAAAUCCCCGGGCUUAACCUGGGAACUGCAUUUGUGACUGGCGAGCUAGAGUAUGGCAGAGGGGGGUAGAAUUCCACGUGUAGCAGUGAAAUGCGUAGAGAUGUGGAGGAAUACCGAUGGCGAAGGCAGCCCCCUGGGCCAAUACUGACGCUCAUGCACGAAAGCGUGGGGAGCAAACAGGAUUAGAUACCCUGGUAGUCCACGCCCUAAACGAUGUCAACUAGUUGUUGGGGAUUCAUUUCCUUAGUAACGUAGCUAACGCGUGAAGUUGACCGCCUGGGGAGUACGGUCGCAAGAUUAAAACUAAAGGAAU
RNAcentral lists this ribosomal RNA (589 nucleotides) under uncultured bacterium. RNAcentral describes it as "bacterial SSU rRNA". It matches the Rfam family "Bacterial small subunit ribosomal RNA", at positions 327 to 910 of the family's 1533-position model. The record is from RNAcentral.